CUGCCCAGUGAUGAUAUAUUCAACGGCCGCGGUAUCCUAACCGUGCAAAGGUAGCAUAAUCACUUGCCUAUUAAUUGUAGGCUAGAAUGAAAGGAUAAACGAAAUAAAGACUGUCUCAGUUAGCAUCCUAAAAACUAUUCUUUAUAUGAAGAAAUAUAAAUACAAUCGAAGGACAAGAAGACCCUAUAGAGCUUCAUUUUCAAAUAGAUGAAUUCUAUGAUACAAAAUUCGGUUGGGGCGACCUAGGGCACAUAAAUCACCCUUAUAACUAUAGAUAAAUAUAUCAAUGUAUUGACCCUUAAACAGAUCACAAAAACAAGCUACCUUAGGGAUAACAGGCUAAUCCUAUUCAAGAGUUCAUAUCUACAAUAGGGCUUGGCACCUCGAUGUUGGCUUAGGAUUUCUAUAUAGCGCAAAAGCUAUACAAAGAUGGUUUGUUCAACCAAUUAUUUCCU
Molecule: ribosomal RNA, 455 nt
Filed under: Millsonia sp. 1102
Lineage: Eukaryota; Metazoa; Annelida; Clitellata; Crassiclitellata; Megascolecidae
Description: partial 16S ribosomal RNA
Rfam family: Bacterial large subunit ribosomal RNA
Source: RNAcentral